RNAcentral lists this ribosomal RNA (468 nucleotides) under uncultured bacterium. RNAcentral describes it as "partial 16S ribosomal RNA". It matches the Rfam family "Bacterial small subunit ribosomal RNA", at positions 28 to 507 of the family's 1533-position model. The record is from RNAcentral.
GACGAACGCUGGCGGCGUGCUUAACACAUGCAAGUCGAACGGAAAGGCCCUGCUUUUGUGGGGUGCUCGAGUGGCGAACGGGUGAGUAACACGUGAGUAACCUGCCCUUGACUUUGGGAUAACUUCAGGAAACUGGGGCUAAUACCGGAUAGGAGCUCCUGCUGCAUGGUGGGGGUUGGAAAGUUUCGGCGGUUGGGGAUGGACUCGCGGCUUAUCGGCUUGUUGGUGGGGUAGUGGCUUACCAAGGCUUUGACGGGUAGCCGGCCUGAGAGGGUGACCGGCCACAUUGGGACUGAGAUACGGCCCAGACUCCUACGGGAGGCAGCAGUGGGGAGUAUUGCACAAUGGGCGGAAGCCUGAUGCAGCGACGCCGCGUGCGGGAUGACGGCCUUCGGGUUGUAAACCGCUUUCGCCUGUGACGAAGCGUGAGUGACGGUAAUGGGUAAAGAAGCACGGGCUAAGUACGUG